This is a long non-coding RNA of Xiphophorus couchianus (Monterrey platyfish), 459 nucleotides long. RefSeq lists it as uncharacterized. The record is from RefSeq and is a predicted model, not a curated record. NCBI's taxonomy places the organism in Eukaryota, Metazoa, Chordata, Actinopteri, Cyprinodontiformes, Poeciliidae. The transcript has 2 exons.
AAACAGUCAAAUAAAAUCAGCUCAAUUAUAACCCACAAUUUAGAAGUACAGCAUAAACAGAGUGGAGAAAUAAUAACUAAAUAAGGCAGAAAUAAUGAGUUUCAGCUGCGCUUCUCGUUCCGCCGCAUCCACACAUGCCCACAAGAUGGCAGCAAACAUGGACUGUUUGAGGGAUUUACUUUUCACCUGCCUCUCCAUGGAGACGGCUGACCCCGGCGUGACCCCGCGGCCGGCAAACAGCCUCACCUGAUAAAAGCUGACCUGCAGCCAACACCUGAGUCAUUAGACGCGGCGUGCACUCCAAGCGGAGGGCUGCGGGUAAAUACUGGGUGCUAUAAAGCCCGGCUCGUUUAAUGAAAAGGAGGUUCGGCCCAAAUCACUUCCUGAUAAGUAAAUCCCUGACUUUUCUGGUGCUUGUUCAAUAAAUAACAUGCAAUAAUGCUGAAAGCAGGGAGCAAA